Molecule: long non-coding RNA, 607 nt
Filed under: Vigna radiata
Lineage: Eukaryota; Viridiplantae; Streptophyta; Magnoliopsida; Fabales; Fabaceae
Description: long non-coding RNA (VRAD_LNC009893)
Source: RNAcentral
AGAGAGCUAGGUGGCUUAUAAACCCUUUUGGAAUGAAAGAAUUAGGCAAUGUGGGACUCCAAGCACCUAGGGAUACUUUUGUAGCUGCUGGCCAGCUCUUGGAGCCUUCCAAGUCCCACAUUGCUUGAAACUCUUCACCAAACUCCUUCCAAAAGCUAUAUAAGUAAGCCUAGGGGUUCUCCUUUGUACCUUACCUUGAAUUGAAUUGAAUUUGAGUUGAUUUGCACCUUUCCAAUCCUCUUUUGAGAUAGUUCUCUGUCUCUAAAGUGUCUCUUUGGGCAGACCUUAUCUUGCUCAAGCAAGUGGCGGUCCUUCCUUGAUGCUUACCUUGGAGCCUUCUUCAAGUGGCGCAUCUUCAAGUCAUAAGUUUCCUUUUCUCUACUAUUUUCCACUUUUAAUUUCUCUCAAUUUCUUCUAUACCAUUUUAGAAUAUUCUCUCUAGGUAUGCACUUCCCCAUCACAGCGUGUGCACACCAAAAUUAAUUUCAAGCUUUUCUAAAUAGGAGUAAGUGUUGGAACAAAACGAAAGUUGAAAAUGUGCUACAUUGCCGCAUGAAUCAACGUAUAAAACCCAAAAUCCAAGCUGGACAUCCCGCCUACUUUGGUG